RNAcentral lists this ribosomal RNA (482 nucleotides) under Veillonella dispar. RNAcentral describes it as "bacterial SSU rRNA". It matches the Rfam family "Bacterial small subunit ribosomal RNA", at positions 28 to 480 of the family's 1533-position model. The record is from RNAcentral. Lineage: Bacteria; Bacillati; Bacillota; Negativicutes; Veillonellales; Veillonellaceae.
GACGAACGCUGGCGGCGUGCUUAACACAUGCAAGUCGAACGAAGAGCGAUGGAAGCUUGCUUCUAUCAAUCUUAGUGGCGAACGGGUGAGUAACGCGUAAUCAACCUGCCCUUCAGAGGGGGACAACAGUUGGAAACGACUGCUAAUACCGCAUACGAUCUGACCUCGGCAUCGAGGAUAGAUGAAAGGUGGCCUCUAUUUAUAAGCUAUCACUGAAGGAGGGGAUUGCGUCUGAUUAGCUAGUUGGAGGGGUAACGGCCCACCAAGGCGAUGAUCAGUAGCCGGUCUGAGAGGAUGAACGGCCACAUUGGGACUGAGACACGGCCUAGACUCCUACGGGAGGCAGCAGUGGGGAAUCUUCCGCAAUGGACGAAAGUCUGACGGAGCAACGCCGCGUGAGUGAUGACGGCCUUCGGGUUGUAAAGCUCUGUUAAUCGGGACGAAAGGCCUUCUUGCGAAUAGUAGAAGGAUUGACGGUACCG